Tetranychus urticae (two-spotted spider mite) is the source of this 3902-nucleotide non-coding RNA. The record is from RefSeq and is a predicted model, not a curated record. Lineage: Eukaryota; Metazoa; Arthropoda; Arachnida; Trombidiformes; Tetranychidae.
UAUCAUCUGUUGAUUUAUUUUGAUUUUAAAUCAGUUUUUAUUUUGGUUUGUAUUCUAAUUUAUUAAUACUUUAAUACGCUGUGCAUCUAGCAAUUACAUCAAAUAGUUCAAUUUUCAUCUAGUCGAGUCUAAAACAAUUAUGUUACGCAUAACUGAAUCUUCCAAUAUUCAAUUUGAGUUGAAAUUGAGUUUUGAAAGAAACGUUGUUUUAUAACCAAUCAUUUUGCAAUGGACAAAUCCAAGGAAGGAUUUACACUUGUUACUUCAUAGCCAUAAAAAGCUUGGAAAUUUCCUGGAAACAAUUGAAUUGAAACGCUAUUCUCUGACUAAAGAUCCGGAAUUAUAUGGAUAUGGAUAAACUCAAAGUAGAGCGAGGUAAAAACAAUUAGGAGACAAAAAAGGACAAACAUAGUUCCAUCUCAGCCCAAAGACGAUGUUGCGAGCUCAUUGAAUCUUUCCGUUAAUUUUGCAUUCAAUUAGAUUCUAUGAUUUUUUAAACUAUUGCUUUUCCUCCAUGAAUAACUGUUUAUAUCUUCAUUCCAACUCUUUUUGCAACUCUAAAGGAACAGUUUCAAUCUUCUCUUUCACUUUCAUCUUUAAUAUUUUAAUUCAUCACUUAAUCAUUUUACAAUUACUAUUUAAAUUUCCCUCUCGCAUACGACCGUUUAACUUAUCUGUUUGGAUUUGAUCUUUUUAUCGAGUAUUUUCAGUCUUGAUAUCGGUAUUAACAAUCCUUUAAUAAGGUUAAAGAUAAUUAUAAAUAACUCGGGUUUGAAAUAUAAUCUUGUCAUGUUUGCUCAUUAAUCAGAACGAGCUCCACGAUUCCACUGAUUGUUAAUAGCAACCCAUUUGAACCAUAUGAAUAUUUUUCGUCAUUAUACUUCAACAUCAUCAUCAGGUAACAUUGAACCAUCAUUGGAAUAUUUUUCACGGAUAAUAAUCAGUUAGGAAACUUACAGUGAGCGUAACUCUCAUAAAACUACAAUUGUAUCAACUGUAAUGAAAGCUAACUCUAUUAGACUAAUGUUUGGAUCAAAUUUAGGUUCAAAUGUUUAAAAUUAAUGCUUUAAUUAACUACCCUGUUGUUUAUUGUUACCAGUUUAAUGAAAUGGAAAAAAAUCCUCUAUUUCUUUUCUUUUCUUGUUUUUCAGAGUUCAAUUUCGUUCACUCUUUUUUUCCAAUUCAUGAAAGUAAAAAAUAAAAUCAAACUAAUCCCUGUUGAUCUUUAACCUUGAGACUUUUGUAGAAACGAAUUAAGUGAUUAAUUAUUUGGCUGAUAAUACCUUAAAUCAUUACACUCUCUAUCUUUAACUAUUAGAACAAAUGAGUACUCAAUGACAGAGGCUACUGCAAAAUAACUAAUGUUACUGCAAAAGCUGGGUAAAUAAGGAAAAAGGUAGUAAGGUUCAAAAGAACGAAUUGAGGAAGCUUAACUAAUUUUCUCGAUAUUAAUUUUGUUAAUGACUAUUCUGGUGUUAAAUUAACGUUUCUCAAAUUAAUUGAACCGCAAUAUGUUUAAAGGACUAAGAUGGUUUCCGUGAAAAGAGGUUCAACAUUUAGUGUCUUAACACGAGCAACACAUGGAUCCAACCAUUGGAGGGAAAUCGGAUUACAACAAAGGAGAUGAUAAACCUUAAUGAUGAUUUCUUUACUACAAGCUACUACCGAGAGCGAUAGUUUUGUUAAUCAAUGGUUGAAUAAUAGUUAAACAAUAGAACCUGUUGAUGGUUUUAAUUACAAGUCACAGGAUCCAACCACUGUUAAAUUUAGGUUGAAUUGGAAGGCAGUUACAUAAACAAGCAACAAUCAAUCAACCAGGCAACAAACAAGCAGCCAUCUACACACACACACACACACACACACACACACACUCACACUCAGAGACAGAAACGAAUUAAAUCAAGCUAAAACUGGAAUAUGACAAUUUUCAUUGCUGUUAAAUAUAUUUAUAAUUUUAUCCUUCUCUCUCUACAUCUCUCUCGCUUACACACCUCACAUACAAAUGUAAACACAUUAAAUUUUUCUUGAGCAGCUCGUUCAUUCGCACGCUUCACUGGCUGAACAAGUUAAAUUGUCUACAGAUUAAGAAAGCUAACUUUCUAUUAUAAAACUGUCUCAAGAGCUGAUUGAUCGAGAAGGAGAGAGAUGCAUCAAUUGAAUGUGCUUGAGAAAUUGUGUCAAUUACUGUUUGGUUGCUGGAUAUGGAUGGAGCAGGAGAGAAACAAACAAGCAAAAUAAUAAUAAGAUGAAGUGAAGAGAAACAAAAAAACACUGCAAAAGGAAUAAGGUAAAGGAGUAACGUUAUGAAUGCAACAAUUAAAUUUUGGACCAAAAAUGGAUGACCUUGAAUUUUUUUCAUCCACUAAAAGGAAUAUCAAUUGUUUUCCAACUGGUUGACCUUCAAGGUUCUGAUAAUUCAGCAAGCUGACUGAACACUGUUUUAUUUCGCUGUUGUACUCUCUUUUGGUUGUUGCGAACAGCCAAACGUAACGUUUGCUGUUGCCAUUAUAUAUUAUUAAUAGCAACUCAAUAUAAACAACCGUAAACACGCAAAAUGCUCUACUGUUGCCGCUUUUUGAAACAAUUUACAGAUGAUAAUCAUGAUAACUACAGUGAUUACGAUGAUGAAAUCCAUUGAUGAGAUUAUUGAAAGGCUGUUAAUGUAAACAAAUUACGCUUCAAUUCCCUUCAACUUCAAUCAAUAAUGUAACUAGAGAGAUAGAUCACAUCACAUCAUAUGAUAUUUUAUUUUUCCUGAUGAAAUGCUGCCAAUGAUUAUUUAUUUUCUUUACUCUGCUGUUUUGUUAUUGUAAUAAUAAUAAUACAUGACGAUCAUCACCAUUAUCAUCAUCGUUCUGAUGAUUAUUAUGAUGAAUAAGUUGAUUGCUAAUGAUUGUACAAAGAUGGUUAAUGUCUCAUGUAAUGUGAUUAACUUGUUGGUGGCUCCAGUUGUUUUACCAAUGUCUAUCAUCUUCUAAUUAAUCCAAUUAGACAGUAUAUUAGUCACAAAUUCACAUUUCAAUUGAUGAUUCCUGUUGAUCAGAUAGUUAAAUGACAAUCAGCGAGAUCAUCAUACUCCAAUGAACGCUGGUUGGAUGAAACAUUUGUCAAUUUACACUUCAAUUUUCAACUUGGAUACAACAGCAACUUGAUAUAUCGUAACUUAAUCAAAAGAAACGUGAAAACCAAACCUUGUGGAUUCAUUUCAAUUGUAAAUUUACCACUACAAAUUACAAUUGAAAUAAUUAACCGUAGAUGUAACUGUUUAACUUUAUCCUAAUAAUCAGCAAUUAAUCGUCUCUCCUCUAAUCUAACUUUGAUUAGUCUAGCUCAAGUAUAGAAGAAGGUAAACCAAAAAGUUAUUAUUAAUAUCAUAACGUUAGUAUCUUAUAUUAAUUCCUUACGGUACUUUACCUUGAUUGUUGAUUAACUUUUUAUCUUACCAGAAAUUUUAUCAUAAAUUAACAAGUUUCCGUCAUCAAUAUAAGAUUUAUUAUUAAUAAUAACUUAUUAUACACACACACACAUUCAAUUAUUAUUAGUCUUUGAUUGUAUAAGUGUAAACUUGGCUUUAAUUCAGCGGUUGCUUCAGUAUAGUCUCAAGACUAAAAUCUUAAUCACAAGUGUCACUUGUUAAACCACAGAUAAAAGCUAAUUGAUUUAACUGAAUCUCCUAAAUAUCAGAUCUAAUAAUAAUGACAAUUGUAUCCAUCUAAAUGAGUAGCAAUCCUUUUUCAAUAUUGAUCAAAACUGAAGACAAAAUAUUAAAUCUAAUGCAAACAACCCGAUCAAAAGCAAAAAUUUCAAUCAAGACUAACAAUGGUAAUUUAUUAAUUAUAAUUUAUUAUGCUUACAGAUGAUAAUUUAUAUUCCUAACAAUAAAAAUGUCAAUGAACUGUCAA